Molecule: ribosomal RNA, 435 nt
Filed under: uncultured bacterium
Lineage: Bacteria
Description: partial 16S ribosomal RNA
Rfam family: Bacterial small subunit ribosomal RNA
Source: RNAcentral
AGCGAACGCUGGCGGCAGGCUUAACACAUGCAAGUCGAACGGGCUUCUUCGGAAGUCAGUGGCAGACGGGUGAGUAACACGUGGGAACGUGCCCUUCGGUUCGGAAUAACUCAGGGAAACUUGAGCUAAUACCGGAUACGCCCUUUUGGGGGAAGGUUGACUGCCGAAGGAUCGGCCCGCGUCUGAUUAGCGUGUUGGUGGGGUAACGGCCUACCAAGGCGACGAUCAGUAGCUGGUCUGAGAGGAUGAUCAGCCACACUGGGACUGAGACACGGCCCAGACUCCUACGGGAGGCAGCAGUGGGGAAUAUUGGACAAUGGGCGCAAGCCUGAUCCAGCCAUGCCGCGUGAGUGAUGAAGGCCUUAGGGUUGUAAAGCUCUUUUGUCCGGGACGAUAAUGACGGUACCGGAAGAAUAAGCCCCGGCUAACUUCGUG